CCUCCUCCCCAUGUCCUACAAAGGGUAACUUAGCUAUUUUUUCUCGAAGAUAGAAUCCACAAGCUGGAUAUGACUCUGGAUUAAGAGAGCCAAGGAUCCCAUCCUUCUUCAAUCUGUUUAUCCUGUCCUUUCCAAUAUGGCCUAGUUUAUGGUGCCAUAAGUACUUCUGGUUAAUUUUGAAGGGAAACAUGGUGGGUGAUGUGCAUGCAUUUUCAAAAAUUUUACAGUGAAACAUACAUAGAUUAAAUAAUCUAAUUUACAAUGCAUGCAUUGAUCAAAUCUAAAUCACCAUAC
Molecule: long non-coding RNA, 294 nt
Filed under: Elaeis guineensis (African oil palm)
Lineage: Eukaryota; Viridiplantae; Streptophyta; Magnoliopsida; Arecales; Arecaceae
Description: long non-coding RNA (EGUI_LNC047450)
Source: RNAcentral